Molecule: long non-coding RNA, 1184 nt
Filed under: Chrysemys picta bellii (western painted turtle)
Lineage: Eukaryota; Metazoa; Chordata; Testudines; Emydidae
Description: lncRNA (ENSCPBG00000016672.1)
Source: RNAcentral
CUGAGGUGUCUUUAGGAUUUCAUUAGAGCUUGUAAAGUGUACAGUUGAGCUACUUGACAAAUUUAACAGUUUUCUGUCAGAAAAUGCAGUUUCUUUGAAACUGAAAUGUUUAAUGGGAAGUGUCAAUUUCAAAGAAAUUUUCAAAGGGAAAAGGCAAAAUGAUUUGUUUUGACUUUCCUGUUUCAGCUUGACAAGAUAAAAACAUUUAGCCUCAACAAGGUAAAAAUGUUUCAUUUUAACUUUCAUUGUCUUUCCUUUCAACCUUUAGAAUAUACUUUAUAUAUGUGGAUAAAAAUAAAUAUAAAAUAGCCAUAUUUUAAAACAUUUCAACAUUAUUGAAACUAAAUGAUUCAGCAUUAUUGAAGCAAAACAUUUCAAUGUUUCAGAAGGAAAGUUUUUCAGAAUUUCCAUUUCAUGAUAGAUUUCAUAACUUUGACUCACGUUCUUAUUCACAUGUCCAAGUUUCCAGUGGCAUGGAAAUUCCAUUUUCUGAGCAGUCUAGUGUUCAGAUUCUACAGUGGGGGCCACAAAAGUACUUUAGACAGAUAAGAGGGGACGAUUGAGGAGCAGUCUUGAAACAUUUCUUUUUUAAAGACUAAGCCUGCUUGCCAGGGUGAAAAAUAUCUUUAUCACCAAGCUCCUAACACUUUAAACGGGUUACUUUGCAAAAAUUUAACUCUUGGUUCUAAAGUGAAGCGCUUAGCCGGGUAGAGGAAUGGGACUCAUUGGCUAGAACAGCCUAUCCCAAUAUGGGUCUGGAAGGGAAAAAAGGCUCAUGCAAGUCAACUCUCAUCUCUCAAGUAGCUGUGUGUUGAUUCUGAUCCCUUUUCUCCACCCUGACACAGUAAAAGUCAAGAUGGGGUCUAAAGAUUAUUAUUGUGUUUCUGUUUUUUGUUUUUUAAGUUUCAUCCUAGUCAAGAGUAAGAGUUUUGUAUAUGCACACGCACAUGUUGCUGAUGCGUACACACACACACACACACACACACACACACACACACACACACACACACACACAGCUGUAAACAUAUCUAUCCUCAUGAUACCAGCUAGCAUGCAAGGGCAUUAUUGCAAAUAUUAAAAAAAACACAAACACCCAGUUCAUUAUUAAGAACAUAAGUGACUUUUACAGUUGUCUAAAUGUGAACAGUAAUAAAGGUCAUAAUAUAAAGAUUUUUUUUAAUCUG